UACGUAGGCAGCGAGCGUUGUCCGGAAUUACUGGGCGUAAAGAGCUCGUAGGUGGUUUGUCGCGUUGUUCGUGAAAACUCACAACUCAAUUGUGGGCGUGCGGGCGAUACGGGCAGACUGGAGUACUGCAGGGGAGACUGGAAUUCCUGGUGUAGCGGUGGAAUGCGCAGAUAUCAGGAGGAACACCGGUGGCGAAGGCGGGUCUCUGGGCAGUAACUGACGCUGAGGAGCGAAAGCGUGGGGAGCGAACAGG
This 253-nucleotide ribosomal RNA is filed under the name uncultured bacterium. RNAcentral's name for it is "partial 16S ribosomal RNA". It matches the Rfam family "Bacterial small subunit ribosomal RNA", at positions 524 to 776 of the family's 1533-position model. The record is from RNAcentral.